GUGACCUGCUGACGUGGAAGGAAAUCGCUUCCUCAAGGACGCGAUUUCCUUCCACGUCAGCAGGUCGC
MicroRNA precursor from Gossypium raimondii (Peruvian cotton), 68 nucleotides. It matches the Rfam family "MIR7486 microRNA precursor family", at positions 10 to 77 of the family's 87-position model. The record is from Rfam. NCBI's taxonomy places the organism in Eukaryota, Viridiplantae, Streptophyta, Magnoliopsida, Malvales, Malvaceae.